This 376-nucleotide ribosomal RNA is filed under the name uncultured bacterium. RNAcentral's name for it is "bacterial SSU rRNA". It matches the Rfam family "Bacterial small subunit ribosomal RNA", at positions 524 to 898 of the family's 1533-position model. The record is from RNAcentral.
UACGAAGGGUGCAAGCGUUGCUCGGAAUUAUUGGGCGUAAAGGGGAGGUAGGUGGUCUCGUUUGUCCGGGGUGAAAUACCUGAGCUUAACUCGGGAAGUGCCUCGGAAACGGCGAGACUAGAGUACUGGAGAGGGUAGCGGAAUUCCCGGUGUAGCGGUGAAAUGCGUAGAGAUCGGGAGGAACACCAGAGGCGAAGGCGGCUACCUGGACAGUCACUGACACUCAACUCCGAAAGCGUGGGGAUCAAACAGGAUUAGAUACCCUGGUAGUCCACGCUGUAAACGAUGGGCACUAGGUUUCGCGGGUCUUGACCCCUGCGGAGCCGCAGCUAACGCAAUAAGUGCCCCGCCUGGGGAGUACGGUCGCAAGACUAAA